ACGAGAAAGUUGUAGCAAUACGGCUUUGAAAGCGGCGCACGGGUGCGUAACACGUAUGCAACCUACCUUUUACUAAGGAAUAGCCUCUCGAAAGAGAGAUUAAUACCUUAUAACAUGUUUUGAAGGCAUCUUCAGAACCUUAAAGCUCCGGCGGUAAAAGAUGGGCAUGCGGUUGAUUAGCUAGUUGGUGAGGUAAUGGCUCACCAAGGCUUCGAUCAAUAGGGGGUCUGAGAGGAUGUCCCCCCACACUGGUACUGAGACACGGACCAGACUCCUACGGGAGGCAGCAGUAGGGAAUAUUGGACAAUGGGCGCAAGCCUGAUCCAGCCAUGCCGCGUGCAGGAUGAAGGCCCUAUGGGUCGUAAACUGCUUUUGUACGGGAAGAAACCUCACUACGUGUAGUGAGUUGACGGUACCGUGAGAAUAAGGAUCGGCUAACUUCGUGCCAGCAGCCGCGGUAAUACGAAGGAUCCAAGCGUUGUCCGGAUUUACUGGGUUUAAAGGGUGCGUAGGCGGACUUUUAAGUCAGUGGUGAAAGCUCGCAGCUUAACUGUGAAAUUGCCAUUGAAACUGAAAGUCUCGAGUGUGGUUGAGGUAACUGGAAUAUAUCAUGUAGCGGUGAAAUGCUUAGAUAUGAUAUAGAACACCAAUUGCGAAGGCAGGUUACUGAGCCACAACUGACGCUGACGCACGAAAGCGUGGGGAUC
RNAcentral lists this ribosomal RNA (707 nucleotides) under uncultured bacterium. Its description in RNAcentral is "bacterial SSU rRNA". It matches the Rfam family "Bacterial small subunit ribosomal RNA", at positions 66 to 769 of the family's 1533-position model. The record is from RNAcentral.